UGGUUGAUCCUGCCAGUAGUCAUAUGCUUGUCUCAAAGAUUAAGCCAUGCAAGUCUAAGUAUAAGCAUUUAUACUGUUAAACUGCGGAAAGCUCAUUAUAUCAGUUAUAGUUUAUUUGAUGGUAAACCCACUACAUGGAUAACCGUAGUAAUUCUAGAGCUAAUACAUGCCUUGAAGCGGUAACUUUGGAAGCCGUGGACUUAUUAGAUCAAGAGCUGACCCUUUUCGGAGGAACAAGCUGAAUCAUAGUAAUUUCGCUAAUCGCAGUGGUUUUGUACCGGCGAUGGGUCAUUCAAAUUUCUGCCCUAUCAGCUGUGAUGUUAGUGUAGUGGACUAACAUGGCAUAAACGGGUGACGGAGGAUUAGGGUCUGAUUCCGGAGAGGGAGCCUGAGAAAUGGCUACCACUUCCAAGGAAGGCAGCAGGCGCGUAAAUUACCCAAUCCCGAUACGGGGAGGUAGUGACAAGAAAUAGCAAUACCGGAUCUUUUAAGAUCUGGUAAUUGGAAUGAGUACAAUCUAAAAUCCUUAACUAGGACCCAUUGGAGGGCAAGUCUGGU
Molecule: ribosomal RNA, 558 nt
Filed under: uncultured Cercozoa
Lineage: Eukaryota; Cercozoa
Description: SSU rRNA
Rfam family: Eukaryotic small subunit ribosomal RNA
Source: RNAcentral